GACGAACGCUGGCGGCGUGCCUAAUACAUGCAAGUAGAACGCUGAAGGAGGAGCUUGCUCUUUCCGGAUGAGUUGCGAACGGGUGAGUAACGCGUAGGUAACCUGCCUGGUAGCGGGGGAUAACUAUUGGAAACGAUAGCUAAUACCGCAUAAGAGUAGAUAUCGCAUGAUAGCUGCUUGAAAGGUGCAAUUGCACCACUACCAGAUGGACCUGCGUUGUAUUAGCUAGUUGGUGAGGUAACGGCUCACCAAGGCAACGAUACAUAGCCGGCCUGAGAGGGUGAUCGGCCACACUGGGACUGAGACACGGCCCAGACUCCUACGGGAGGCAGCAGUAGGGAAUCUUCGGCAAUGGACGGAAGUCUGACCGAGCAACGCCGCGUGAGUGAAGAAGGUUUUCGGAUCGUAAAGCUCUGUUGUAAGAGAAGAACGAGUGUGAGAGUGGAAAGUUCACACUGUGACGGUAUCUUACCAGAAAGGGACGGCUAACUACGUGCCAGCAGCCGCGGUAAUACGUAGGUCCCGAGCGUUGUCCGGAUUUAUUGGGCGUAAAGCGAGCGCAGGCGGUUAGAUAAGUCUGAAGUUAAAGGCUGUGGCUUAACCAUAGUACGCUUUGGAAACUGUUUAACUUGAGUGCAAGAGGGGAGAGUGGAAUUCCAUGUGUAGCGGUGAAAUGCGUAGAUAUAUGGAGGAACACCGGUGGCGAAAGCGGCUCUCUGGCUUGUAACUGACGCUGAGGCUCGAAAGCGUGGGGAGCAAACAGG
RNAcentral lists this ribosomal RNA (764 nucleotides) under uncultured Streptococcus sp. RNAcentral describes it as "bacterial SSU rRNA". It matches the Rfam family "Bacterial small subunit ribosomal RNA", at positions 28 to 776 of the family's 1533-position model. Lineage: Bacteria; Bacillati; Bacillota; Bacilli; Lactobacillales; Streptococcaceae. The record is from RNAcentral.